This is a non-coding RNA of Microtus oregoni (creeping vole), 467 nucleotides long. The record is from the annotation of a RefSeq genome assembly. Lineage: Eukaryota; Metazoa; Chordata; Mammalia; Rodentia; Cricetidae.
GGAGGAUCAACAUGGUGUCACAAACGCAGGUUCUCCUAUCCCUGCUGCUCUGGGUGUCUGGUGCCUGUGCAGAUAUCGUGAUGACCCAGUCUCCAUCCUCCCUGGCUGUGUCAGCAGGAGAGAAGGUCAUCAUAAGCUGCAAGUCCAGUCAGAGUCUUUUAUACAGUGGCAAUAACUACUUGGCUUGGUACCAGCAGAAACCAGGGCAGGCUCCUAAACUACUGAUCUACUGGGCAUCCACUCGGCCCACUGGGGUCACUGAUCGCUUCACAGGCAGUGGAUCUGGGACAGAUUUCACUCUCACCAUCAGCAGUGUUCAGGCUGAAGAUCUGGCAGAUUACUACUGUCAGCAGUACCACAGCUUUCCUCCCACAGCGCUUCAGCCUCCAACAAAAACCUCUCUCACAUUCUCACCAGCUGGCUGUACCACACAGCCCUGGACCUGCACACUUCCCCCUGCUGCCUGA